UACAGAGGUGGCGAGCGUUGUUCGGAUUUACUGGGCGUAAAGGGUGCGUAGGUGGUUUCGUGUGUCGGAUGUGAAAUCCCACGGCUUAACCGUGGACCUGCAUCGGAAACUACGGAACUUGAGUGCAGUAGGGGAGAGCGGAAUUCUCGGUGUAGCGGUGAAAUGCGUUGAGAUCGAGAAGAACACCGGUGGCGAAGGCGGCUCUCUGGGAUGCAACUGACACUGAGGCACGAAAGCUGGGGGAGCAAACAGGAUUAGAUACCCUGGUAGUCCCAGCCCUAAACGGUGGACACUUGGUGUGGGGGGAAUUAACCCCCUCCGUGCCGGAGCUAACGCGUUAAGUGUACCGCCUGGGGAGUACGGCCGCAAGGCUAAA
This 376-nucleotide ribosomal RNA is filed under the name uncultured bacterium. RNAcentral's name for it is "bacterial SSU rRNA". It matches the Rfam family "Bacterial small subunit ribosomal RNA", at positions 524 to 898 of the family's 1533-position model. The record is from RNAcentral.